This 253-nucleotide ribosomal RNA is filed under the name uncultured bacterium. RNAcentral's name for it is "partial 16S ribosomal RNA". It matches the Rfam family "Bacterial small subunit ribosomal RNA", at positions 524 to 776 of the family's 1533-position model. The record is from RNAcentral.
UGCGUAGGUGGCAAGCGUUAUCCGGAGUUAUUGGGCGUAAAGCAUGCGUAGGCGGAUAUUUAAGUGGGAUGUGAAACCCCGGGGCUCAACCCCGGACGUGCAUUCCAAACUGGAUGUCUAGAGUACAGGAGAGGAAAGGGGAAUUCCUAGUGUAGCGGUGAAUUGCGUAGAGAUUAGGAAGAACACCAGUGGCGAAGGCGCCUUUCUGGACUGUAACUGACGCUGAGACAUGAAAGCGUGGGUAGCAAACAGG